Molecule: unclassified non-coding RNA, 279 nt
Filed under: Hevea brasiliensis (rubber tree)
Lineage: Eukaryota; Viridiplantae; Streptophyta; Magnoliopsida; Malpighiales; Euphorbiaceae
Source: RNAcentral
AGGUAUAUGACAGCAAGACUAAGCAAACUUGUAAUUGAAUGUAAUGACAAGAUAAAAUGAAGAGGUUUUAGACCUCCAAAUAAAGGUAAUUUCUCUUAGAUUAAGGAAGGUGACUUGGCUAAAAGCCCGAAAGGAGUUCCCUUAAAACAACCAUUACAAUUUGUGAAGACUGUAAAUACAACAAAUAAGCAUCUGCAUUACCGAUCAAUUUCCUGAUCUUGUUUUUUUGUGCUAUUAGGUUACUUGGAAGAUCGACGUCCAGCUUCAAACAUGGACCCU